RNAcentral lists this ribosomal RNA (116 nucleotides) under Sinocyclocheilus grahami. The record is from RNAcentral. Lineage: Eukaryota; Metazoa; Chordata; Actinopteri; Cypriniformes; Cyprinidae.
CCAACACUGCAUAUCACCCUGUAGCGCAAGACUGGUUACCCACUAAAGCUAAGCAGGGCUGAGCCUGGUCAGUACCUGGAUGGGAAGCCUCCUGGGAAAACUAGGUCGCUGCUGGA